CCUACGGGUGGCAGCAGUUAGGAAUAUUGGUCACUGGGCGAGAGCCUGAACCAGCCAAGUCGCGUGAAGGAUGAAGGAUCUCUGGUUUGUAAACUUCUUUUAUAUGGGAAUAAAGUGAGGAACGUGUUCCUUUUUGUGUGUACCAUAUGUAUAUGCAUCGGCUAACUCCGGUCCAGCAGCCGCGAUAAUACGGAGGAUUCGAGCGUUAUCCGGAUUGAUUGGGUUUAAAGGGUGCGUAGGUGGUAAAUUAAGUUAGACGUGAAAGUUUGGGGCUCAACCAUAGAAUUGCCGUUGAAACUGGUCGACUUGAGUAUAGUUGAGGUAGACGGAAUGCGUGGUGUAGCGGUGAAAUGCAUAGAUAUCACGCAGAACUCCGAUUGCGAAGGCAGCUUACUAAACUAUAACUGACACUGAAGCACGAAAGCGUGGGGAUCAAACAGGAUUAGAUACCCUAGUAGUC
RNAcentral lists this ribosomal RNA (460 nucleotides) under uncultured bacterium. Its description in RNAcentral is "partial 16S ribosomal RNA". It matches the Rfam family "Bacterial small subunit ribosomal RNA", at positions 338 to 795 of the family's 1533-position model. The record is from RNAcentral.